Podarcis muralis (Common wall lizard) is the source of this 1918-nucleotide long non-coding RNA. Lineage: Eukaryota; Metazoa; Chordata; Lepidosauria; Squamata; Lacertidae. The record is from Ensembl.
CCAAAUAUGAGUGCAGCAUGAGUGCAGUUUGAAAUUUUGGUUUUAAAGGAACUGCACUUAUUUGCCCAAAUUCAUCUGGGGAUUAUAUGAGUGCAGAAUUCGCUUCUCAUGGCUGCCUUAUGUCCAACAUUGCUCAGGAAUUCUAAGAAACCAAAAAAUCAGUUGAGUUUUGAAGUCAAGUCAGUGGUUAGAAUCAAUGCAGUUUUGAAAGGUUCAGUCUACCAUCUUGAUUCCAAACGCUGCCCAAGUAUAUCUGAACAUAGAUUAAAUCCUGCCCCUUGAGCUUCCAUAAGAAUUUCUGUUCAUGCUGUUCCUGUUGUUAUGUUUGCGCUAUUGCUCUGUUGCCAAUCUCCAUACCUUGGUCUCCAUAGGGCGGUGGAGGCCCACCGGGAGUUGCUGGGGAGCGUGGCCGGCUGGGUCCUCUUGGGAAAAAGGGCGAACCUGGCAAUCCUGGUCCAAAGGGUCCCAAUGGUCCCACUGGGCCCCGAGGAGAGACGGGAGAUGAUGGACGAGAUGGAGUUGGCAGGGCAGGAGCUAAAGGCAGAAAGGGAGAGCCUGGUUUCCCAGGAUAUCCAGGAAUAAGGGGUGCGCCUGGAGAUAAUGGUGGCGUUGGAGAUCCUGGCCCCAAAGGAAGCAGAGGUCUCAGGGUAAUGUAGCUUCCUGUGUUUGAUAGUGGAAGAUUAAACUGAGAGCCUGCUUGGUUCAUGUUCUUCUACAAAUCAUUUUCUUUAUUCCCAGUUUCAUCCUGUUGCAACUACUUGCAUAGUUGUAUUCAGUGCCUUUUUUGGGUAAAAAAAAAGUCCCAGUACUCAUAUAUUCAUGAAAGUGCUGUAGGUGCCAGCACAAAAUCGGUCUCAGACCACCAAAAUGAUCAGUUCCAAGGCAAAGAUCAGCUUCCACUUCCAGUGUACUAGAGAAGAGAUCUGUAAUAAACUCUGAGUGGGCCAACUGCAGCCAAACACAUCAUAGAGUUAGACUCAAAUGUGACCUGCUUGUGGAAGGUGCUUUCUGUUCAUAGUAGUGCUGUUUUACAGCUCAUGCUAGAGCAUAAAUCUAAAUAAGUGUUCACGUACUUGUGCAAAAACUUGUGCAAGCUGUAUUCGAAGCUGUUACUGCACUGCAGAAACAUUUGCAAGUGCUACUGGCUGUUUGUUUUUCACACACUAUUUAUGGAUCCAACCUAUUCUGCACAAACACACUGGAGUCUGCAUAGUGUACAUGAACAAAAAUGUUAUUUAAACCAUUUAUAUGCUUUUUUUUUGCCAACUUGUCCUCAAGGCAGCUUACAACACUUGCUUAAAAUACAGAUCAUUUCAGCAUAAGUAAGUCCAAAUCAUCAGGUAAUAAAAGAGCCCCUACAACAGUUAACUAGUAUAAACUUCCAAAUGAAAUUAAAUGCUCUCAAAUGUUUGGGUAACUUGUUGGAGAGCGGAUUUCUGUUGAACGUCCAGGCAGAUGGGGUGAGGAAUUUCAGAACCCUCACGGCCUCCUCCCUAUCUCUCAGCAAGUGAUGGGAGGUCAGGGCAGCCCCACGGACCAGGGCAGGGCAGAAAUAAUGGUGAGGGGAGGGUCUGCAGGUAAGCCAGGUAGAAUCAUGCUGGCUCUGUUUACAUUAAUUCGAACCUCUCCAGGUAAACAACCCACAGCAGAUACGAUUAACGUAAAAGGGCAGAUGUGUGGGAUUUGGAUCAAGCACGUUUACUCUUGUUUGCCUUUUCCUGUUUAGGGAAGUGCAGGGGCACCUGGCGUACGAGGCCAAAAAGGAGAGAAUGGAUAUCCCGGGCCAGAGGUAAGUUUGCGAUACACACAUUACUGAUCUGACAUGUUGAUUUUGCUGAAGAGUCUAGAAUACUUUUCCAUUUCUUUCUAUACUGAGCUUACUAUUAAACUCACAUACCAUACUUCAUCUCUGUUAAUC